RNAcentral lists this ribosomal RNA (392 nucleotides) under uncultured Gammaproteobacteria bacterium. RNAcentral describes it as "bacterial SSU rRNA". It matches the Rfam family "Bacterial small subunit ribosomal RNA", at positions 370 to 779 of the family's 1533-position model. Lineage: Bacteria; Pseudomonadati; Pseudomonadota; Gammaproteobacteria. The record is from RNAcentral.
AAUGGGGGCAACCCUGAUCCAGCCAUGCCGCGUGGACGAUGAAGGCCUUAGGGUUGUAAAGUCCUUUCACCGGUGAAGAUAAUGACGGUAGCCGGAGAAGAAGCCCCGGCUAACUCCGUGCCAGCAGCCGCGGUAAUACGGAGGGGGCUAGCGUUGUUCGGAAUUACUGGGCGUAAAGCGCGCGUAGGCGGAUUGUUAAGUCGGGGGUGAAAUCCCGGGGCUCAACCCCGGAACUGCCUUCGAUACUGGCAAUCUAGAGGUCGAGAGAAGUGAGUGGAAUUCCGAGUGUAGAGGUGAAAUUCGUAGAUAUUCGGAGGAACACCAGUGGCGAAGGCGGCUCACUGGCUCGAUACUGACGCUGAGGUGCGAAAGCGUGGGGAGCAAACAGGAUU